This is a long non-coding RNA of Scleropages formosus (Asian bonytongue), 2789 nucleotides long. The record is from Ensembl. Lineage: Eukaryota; Metazoa; Chordata; Actinopteri; Osteoglossiformes; Osteoglossidae.
GUCAGAUUUCGAUGAAGAUACAAAUGAACAAUUUCCACUGGAUUCUGAUGAGACAAGCACAAGACUUGGCGGGAAAGCAUUAAGGGUUCCUGUCCAGUGUGUCAAAUCUCACGAUCCUGAGGGUCCAGUGCCACAACAGAGACUGACCCAGGAAACUGGGAAAUGUGACUCGGUUGAGUUAAAAAAAUCUUCUGAAGUGACACCCGGCAUAGCCACCCUGCCAGAAUCUAAACUGUCCGAAGGUAUGGAACUCGUAUGUAAAUUAUGGCAAAAUUUACUUUCACGCAAUACUGUUUGACAGUAGGAAUUGCUAAGUAAUUUCAUGUUUUUGGCAGGCAUUUUCUGUGAUGUGGAGGCCUCAGAAAAUGUGUCUUCUCUUCAAGAGAGAACUCUGCAACCGUCCACAAAUUUGCAGCAGGCAUUAGACAGGUGGUCUACGUUCUAUAUAGACACUGUCCCAAAGAUAGGCAGGGAUGCAGCAGACAGUACUGUUAUCGCAGAUUCCACAAAUGGAGGUCUCUCUUCUCCUUCUGUACAUGAUCCUAGCAAUUCAUUGACUAAACAUCUGAUAAAGACACCUGGAAAGGCCCCAUACCCAGAGUGCACGAUCCUGUGUGAUACAGAGAUGGAGCUCACCAUUGGUGAUAAUGCUGCUAAAAUCGAUGCUGUGGAGACCAGACCCAAAAUUCCUCAAAAAACUGGUGAAUUUAAAUUGAGGCAGAAAGAGGAGGCCCAAGCAAGUGUUUCAUCUUUUUUGGGAAAAGAGAAAAAGAAAGUGCAAGACAACAAGGCUGCUCAUAGAGUCGAGUGUCCUAAGGGGGACAAAAGUGCUCUGGUGACUGAGACUGAGAACUCAGAGCCUGACUCCUGUGCUUUAUUCAAUCCUUGCAGUCCUGGCUGUGAGAGAGAGGAGGUCCAGACCAGAGUAUUUGACUCUGUUGCAGCACGUAGAAAGACCCAUGUCACCUGUCGGAAUACCAGACACCACAGACGCACCUCUGAGGUCCCAAAACAGUCAAGAGGUGCAGACAGUUCCAUUGCUAAAGCUUUAGACUCUGCUGUUCCUUGGGACCGCCAUGGACAGAGUCACUUAGUUGGGCCACCUGAAGGUGAUUAUUUCAGAGACAUUGAUGUUCAGAGUUUUGGACUUAACAAGGAAAUCCCAAGGAAUGCAGCUGUGAAAAUGGAUAAAACUGCUAAACUGAAUAGUAAUCUGAGUGACACUUUCCUGAGAAGGAUGUACAUAACCUCAGAUGAAAGCACAUAUAACUGUUCACCAGCAAUAAGCAGGAGGACCAAAACGCUUCCUGUGAUGGUGGGGGACAGUUUGCAUUUGAAUGGAUGCUGUAAUCAAUACUUUACCUGUGAGUCUCAACAAGAUGCUUCUGUGGAUGUAGAAAACUUGCAGUCUCAAAACAAUUCUCCAAAGGAGUCUCAACUUGUCAAGGGAAGCAAGCAGAUGGGACUAAUUCAAAAUGAUUCACACGUCUCCAGCAAGCAUAGAAGGGCAACCGUCUAUGAAUCAAAUGGGGCCGUAAAGAGCAUGGAACAUCUGUUAACAGAAGAGAGCUGUUCUUGUGAAUUCUUGACUUGUUCCUUUAACGUUGCUACAAAGCCGAAAGAGCGGAAAAAGAGUAAACAGCCCACAGCCAGGACCAAGAAGAAGGUACAGCAGGAUGACUCUGAUGGGAAGGAAAGGCUUAAGACAAACUGUUUACACGGAGAGCAGGCAGUAACACUGAGUGAAAUUCAGAAUGUUGCCUCUCACCACCAGGAACAACAAGCAGAGCAAUUAGUUAAUGUCAACAGAGCCAUGAUCUCAGAACCGUCUCUGAAUUCUGCUAUUUCUAGGAGAACUUACAUUGUCUGUCUAAAUGAAGGUAAUGGUUUUAUUGGUUCCCAAGAAAAUUUGGAAGCAACUGACAUGCCAGUUGCUAACAGUGACUGUAGUGAUUUAGAGAAAUAUUCGUCUCUGACUAGGAAUGAAGCAUUCCAGGAUGUUGGUCUAUCUAAUCGCACCAUUCUUCCAAACACUGCUGGCUCGAAUUCAAGUGUUAUGUCUCACAGAAGACAAAAAUUGAGAAGUCAAGACACUUGUGUUUCUAAGUCUCAGAGAGGUUCAGCAGUAAAUAGAAAAGGAAAUGUGUUCCCUGACGAUGUACAAACAUAUGUACCAGUUAAUGGUGAGCAGGCUACAGCACCUAUUCUCAGUGGGGGUCAUGUUUCCACUGAAGAGCUCAGGCAAGAUGGAGGAUUUGUAGAAAAUGCAGAGCAGGACACAGGGGUACCAAGGGAAGCCUCGAAGAAGCUGAUAAUAGAGGAGAGGCCUUCUUGGGAGGACUUUGAUACCUCCUUUAUGCCCUGCUCUGAUUGGCCUGUCCAUAUGGAGAGUCGUGCCUCCAGCUCUUGCCAAAAACCAGCAUCUCCCAAGGUGCCUCUCAAAAGUGAGCCAGUGGCACAUAAAGCAUCAGAAGGUAAAGCUUUGAAGAGUCUUACCAACACAAACUGGGAAGUGAUGUCAGACUCUGGUAGGUCAAGAAGAAAUAGGGGAACUGUUUCUUACAAGGAGCCUUCUAUCAACUGCAAAAUGAGACGUGGGGAUAAAUUCACUGACACAAAGUUUCUGAGCUCUCCAAUAUUUAAAGACAAAAAGAAGUUGAAGAAACGCAUCCCUCAACAGAAAGCUGAUGACUCUCUGAUAGCUGACCUUUGCAUUGGUUACAUGGAUUGAAACCUUAUUGUAUGUUAUUUUAGUGCAAAUAACUUGCUGUGUUGUACUUAGAAUCCCA